GACCGCGUAGCUCAGUUGGCAGAGCAUUGGGCUAGUAUUCCAAAGCCCAAAGGUCGUAGGUUCGAUUCCCACCGUGGACA
This is a non-coding RNA of Paramuricea clavata, 80 nucleotides long. NCBI's taxonomy places the organism in Eukaryota, Metazoa, Cnidaria, Anthozoa, Malacalcyonacea, Plexauridae. The record is from the annotation of a GenBank genome assembly.